Molecule: small nuclear RNA, 118 nt
Organism: Pimephales promelas (fathead minnow)
Lineage: Eukaryota; Metazoa; Chordata; Actinopteri; Cypriniformes; Leuciscidae
Product: U5 spliceosomal RNA
Source: RefSeq, a predicted model, not a curated record
AGUAACUGGAGACGUUCUAGAAAUCCACGCAUAAAUCUUUUGCCUUUUACUAAAAAUUUCCGUGGAGGGAACAUUUGUGAAUUUCUGGGAUUUUGUACGCUCUGCUCACAACAGAGCU